CCUACGGGACGCAGCAGUCGGGAAUAUUGCGCAAUGGAGGGAACUCUGACGCAGUGACGCCGCGUAUGGGAAGAAGGUCUUCGGAUUGUAAACCAUUUUAGACAGGGAAGAGGAAGGACAGUACCUGUAGAAUAAGCUCCGGCUAACUACGUGCCAGCAGCCGCGGUAAUACGUAGGGAGCAAGCGUUAUCCGGAAUUAUUGGGUGUAAAGGGUGCGUAGACGGGAAUACAAGUUGGUUGUGAAAUCCCUUGGCUUAACUGAGGAACUGCAACCAAAACUAUAUUUCUUGAGUACUGGAGAGGAA
RNAcentral lists this ribosomal RNA (305 nucleotides) under uncultured bacterium. Its description in RNAcentral is "bacterial SSU rRNA". It matches the Rfam family "Bacterial small subunit ribosomal RNA", at positions 338 to 659 of the family's 1533-position model. The record is from RNAcentral.